Molecule: small RNA, 127 nt
Filed under: Marmota monax (woodchuck)
Lineage: Eukaryota; Metazoa; Chordata; Mammalia; Rodentia; Sciuridae
Source: RNAcentral
GCCAGGCUUGGUGGCGCAGGCCUGUAAUCCCAAUGGCUUGGGAGGCUGAGGCAGGAGGAUCUUGAAUUCAAAGAUAACCUCAGCAAUUUAGCGAGAUGCUAAGCAGCUUGGUGAGACCCUGUCUCUA